Vitis vinifera (wine grape) is the source of this 90-nucleotide small nucleolar RNA. It matches the Rfam family "Small nucleolar RNA Z122". From Rfam's summary of the family: Z122 is a member of the C/D class of snoRNA which contain the C (UGAUGA) and D (CUGA) box motifs. Most of the members of the box C/D family function in directing site-specific 2'-O-methylation of substrate RNAs. Lineage: Eukaryota; Viridiplantae; Streptophyta; Magnoliopsida; Vitales; Vitaceae. The record is from Rfam.
UUUGGGAAAUGAUGAGAUGUAAACAGUUUAUCAUAGGCUAAAUUGUCUUUGCUAUGCUGAAUGACUUUUGCACGUCAGUCUGAUCCCAAA